GAAGGCUUUAGCUUAAUAAAAGCAUUUGAGUUGCAUUCAGGAGAUGUGAGUUAGCUCUCACAAGUUUUA
This 69-nucleotide transfer RNA is filed under the name Anolis allogus. RNAcentral describes it as "tRNA-Ala". It matches the Rfam family "tRNA". From Rfam's summary of the family: Transfer RNA (tRNA) molecules are approximately 80 nucleotides in length. The record is from RNAcentral. Lineage: Eukaryota; Metazoa; Chordata; Lepidosauria; Squamata; Anolidae.